This is a non-coding RNA of Aegilops tauschii subsp. strangulata, 3321 nucleotides long. NCBI's taxonomy places the organism in Eukaryota, Viridiplantae, Streptophyta, Magnoliopsida, Poales, Poaceae. The record is from RefSeq and is a predicted model, not a curated record.
AAGUGCUAUCUGAAUUCUUUCGCUCAUACCCUUUAUUUAUCUUGUUUUAACGGGAGUGGUUCCAAAUUCUUUCUUGUCCAUCGUGCUCGUCAUUCAUAUCUUUGCAACCUCCAAGUUUUUCAUGGUGUUUUUUUCAUUCCCUCUUUUCUAACAAAGUGUUUCCAACUUCGUUGAUCUCAAUUGUCUUCUUUCAUUCAAUUUGUUCAACCUCUCAAGGUUCAUGGUUUCACUCGUUUGUCAAAGAAGCAACUUUUUUACCUCUUCCUCUUCCGCUUCUCUCCGGUGCCAUCGUUAGAUCUCGGUGCGAGACCACUUGUAAGUGGAGGAGUGUUGUGACAACCCGAGACCGACGCUCCAGAAGCCUUCCAUGUUCUUCGUUGCCAUAGUGUGUUUUAUUUUUGUUGUUGUUGCAUUUCAUCAUGUCAUCAUGCAUAUUGCAUCCCCAUUUUUCAUAAAAUCGUAGUUGUUCGUGGUUGCCACUUCUUCCUUGUCUCUUUUGACCUUCUCUCAGACCAACCGGACCGCUCUUUUCUCUCUUGUAUUCUUCGUGGCCCCUUUGUCUUUGUCGACCUCUCGCAGACCCUCGUGCGUGCCCGAAAACUUCCCGGAACCCGACCCGCUCGGUCAUCAUCGUUGGGUCCGGAUCAUCCCCAAACAUCCCUAAAACAUCUUCGUUUCUUGACUUUCCUAGCCUAUUUAUCCCGGGCCGUCCGAUUACGAUCGGAGGGUCCGACACCUAGCAAAAACCCAUUUGCUAUAAAUAUGCAGGCAACCUUAAGCCCUAGUCGUCCCAUCCAUCCAUUCCAUUCCCGCAGCCGCCGCCACCCUCUCUCCCUUGUUCCUCGGGAGCUUGUCCCAUCGCUGCUUGUCUCCUUCAUCCUCGGGAUCCUUCCAGAUUUCCACCUGCCCAAUCCAUCGAUCCUCCCAACCAGCAGAUCACCCUGGCGCCUCUUCUCCCUGCCUUCCUCUUCUGCUCGAGCGCGCCGCUCGAGAGGAGCCCGCGGCCUCCACUCCGAAGCCUCGAGCAGCCAGCUGCCUCGACUGCAACAACUCCAUGACCUCCUGCAGCUGCCUCCCCGUCGUCAUCUUCAAGCUCGCUGCCUCUGUCUCACCCACCGGACCCUCGCUUCGCUUCGUCCGCUGCCGCAUCGAGCCGCUGCUUGUUUCCACCUCUAGUGCCGCCGUCGGCCACCUCCAAACAUCGAUGUGGACAGUCAGAUCCAGAUCGCAAGGCCCCCAUCACGCUAGUUCUUCCCCACCAAAGCUCCUUGCAGCCUCAACGCUCGGAGGCGCCCGAGGCCUCGACCUCCAUCACCGCGCCUCGCCUCGCUAUAGCAGUGCAUCGCCCGCGAGCCACGGACGAAGACCAGCAACAACCCUGCCGCUCUGUCUUCUGUUCUCUGUCUCAGGCUUGCUCUCGCUCUCCCGGUGCAGGAACCCCAUGGAAGCUCCGUCUCACCGCCGUUUUGCACCCGUUCCAGCUGGGAAUCGGAUGGACCCGUCUUCCUCGCGUCCGUCCCCUGCCUCUCCGCCUCGCUGGAGUCCAGCACAUCGCCGCUAGCUGCUCGCCACCGAGCGGAUCCGCCGCCGUUCGCGUCGCCUACCUCACCAAUGCUCGAUCUGCGCCGUUCACCUCCUGCCGUCGCCCGGAUCCGCGCCGCUCCGCCGCCUCGUCUCCGGCCCCUGCCCGCCGGAGUCACGCUUCCCUGUGCCCCACAGCCUCGCCGCGCCGCGCCUCUGCUUUGUUCGAGCAGGGACGAGACAACGAGUGCUGCUCACGUUGACCGCUCCAGCAACCAAGCCAAGGCCAGCGCCCCUUCGUUGAUCAGAUUGAGCGCCUCGGCUCGAUCGCCUGUACCCGUGGGCCGGCCGCGCUGCCUCCCCGCGCGUUUCAGCCCAGCAGCCAGCCCACGGCCAUCGCUUCCAAACUGGGCAAGGCCCUUGGUGAGAACACAUGCGGCCCGUAUCAUUUUUUUUCCUAGUUCCGCGAAUUUGCUAAUUAUCCAGAGAAUGCUAGCUUUUCAGAAAACCCCCUAAGUUUCAUGCAUAUCAUAUCUCACAAACCAUGUAUCGGAUUAAAUGACACACACACACAUAUAUAUAUAUAUAGUAACACUAAACUAAGCGUGAGUGUAGAAUAGCUUAUUCUACAUCCCAGUAGCGGUACAUGCAAAAUAUAGUAAUUUCCGUAAAAAUAUACUAAAUUACAAACUUGAUAAGUAAAAGAAUAUUUUCUGGAUUACUACAUUUUAUACACCGUUUUACUAGAUUUUGUAUAUAGUACUACUAGGGUGUAGAAUAAGCUAUUCUAUAGUCACGCUUAUAUAUAUAAGAAUAAGUAAUUCUUCAUCCUGAGCCAACCUUUCUCUCAGUUUGAUCCCACCCACGUGUUGUACCUUGGAGGCUCCGACCCUCCACCGUUUUAUGACAAGCGAGGUAAAUUUUCUACGCGACGAGGUAAGUUUUCCCCUUUUCUUACGUUGGCAAAAACUGUUUUCUGUUCGUGGGGUUAGCCCACUCUGCCUCCUCCGAUCCAACUCUAAUCCCUGCGGUUUUCAGCGGCGACUCACUCGCGUUAGCUGGCUUCGGUGUGGUGGUCGACGACUCAGUGAGCGGCCAGUGGGAAAGAUGGCAUGGUGGUCGAGGGUUAGGUUGGUCGUCGUGGGGAUAUACGGUUGACCACUGGGGCACGACGGCGUGGUGCUCGGUGGCCACGGCGGUGAGGUGAGCGCGACAUGGCAAGGAUGUUGGGAAGCGUAGCUUGUGGUGGUCUGCUGGCCGCGGCGACAGUUCAGGUGGUGUUGGUGGCUCUGUGAGUAGUGCUAGCGGUGGCUCUGGUUUAGACCACGACCGCUUCGUCCUAUCCUCCGGUCGGCUGCCACGGCUGCUUGCUCCAGUACGUGCUGGUAACUUAUAUCUCCGACCAAGGGCUUGCCUCGGCACCCUUACAAACUCGAGAUCCCGACUACGAGAGCUCUCCCUAAUGUGUGCACAUAUUGGCUUGAGUUCGGGCAAGAUUGGUAGUGUGUCGGUGUUGUCGUGGUGGAUGUAGUGCUAACCUCUUGGUGUAGCAUUGUGCCGGAAGGUUUUGUAUCGGCCAUCUUGACCUCUUCUUCUAUGCAUAUAUGAUAUGCAUGUUCGUGCGUAUUCUAGAAAAAAAAAGAGGCUCAACAAAAUGUACUCUUUUUCAUGUGCAUAUACCUCUUGGGAACUUCAAUGAAAACCGGAAGAUUUUGUCUUCUGGUUGUUCUUCGUGAUACUACUACUCGUUCUAUACAGAUAAAAAGAAAUCUAUGUGUACAAGAAUACUUGCAGUUUUUA